ACACAGCACAGCUAGUUUCAAAAUUAAACCACAAUGAAAACUGUCACUACUGACAAGGAACUAUGCAAAGACCUUCGGUCUCAGGCCCUUGCUCACUCAGGAGUACCUUGAGACCUGUUUCUUCCUGUUCAGCUGCAGUCACGGUUCUAACCUGGUUCUUCUCACGGCUGGUAUCCUCUGACCUUUUAUGUCUUGGCAAUGACUUCCAUGCAUUUUGGCAGUGACUGCCUGAAUCUCUGAUUCAACCCUGAUCGCAGCCUCUCGGGCUUUCUCGCUCCUUUAAUUCUUUCCGCGGAUGGCCACGGCUUUUGCCGCCUGUACCCUUCCUGGAGCAACCCGUGCUUUUGAAAAAUGACCAUGCCGAAGGGGAACUAACACUCCCAGCCUGGUGCGGGUCUUGUCAAUCUGAUUUUUAAAUGAUGGAGGAGGAGGUUUGAGGACAAAGCUCAUGGUGGCAUUACCACUAUCAGGGACGCUGCAAAGAUCAAGUGAAAAGGGGAAAAGGCUCUUCUCAAUGUGAGCACAUUCACAGGCUCUGAGAACAGAGAGGUAUUUAAAGUGAACUGGAACAAACCUGCAACAUCCGGUGCGUUCUGCCUUCAAAAAUAGCUGCCAGUUAGAAAGGGUUAUUUACAUAUUGAUUUCAUGCUAACUUUGUAAUGGAAUGUGCUGCCUGCCUGCCUGCCUGAGACCUAACAACUGUCAUCAUAAUUUUUUCUAAAAAUACAGUCAGAGAAAAACACUCAUUGAACCCUCCACUGGAAAGUAGCUGCAAAAGACCCCCUGAUCCCAAACCUGCUUGACAGACCACAGCCAAGGGCAGGGACACUCAACAACUGUAAACGAGGAACAUUUCACAGCGGCAGCUGGCCCCUCUCUUCUUCCAACCAGCCAAUAUUUUUUGUCUUUCUAGAAAACCUGUCUUGUUCAAAGGGCGGCAAGUGCAGCCUGAGAGCCCUCCACGGCCUGAUUGCUGAAAGAAUUUCCAAAAGGAAAGAGUGUAAACAGGCUGGAACUUACCAUUGGCUGUCCUGGUCCUCAGGCCUUCGGAGUCAGACUGGAACUACACCAUCGGCUUUCCAGGGUCCCCAGCUUGCCAACUGCAGACCUUGGAAUCAGCCUCAUAAUUGCAAAAACCAAUUUCUUAUCCAAAUAUUAGUAUAUAUAUGUAAUUUCUUACAAGAAAUUUAAGUAAACUUCAUAUGUAUAAUA
Long non-coding RNA from Homo sapiens (human), 1212 nucleotides. Ensembl annotates it as long intergenic non-protein coding RNA 1685. Lineage: Eukaryota; Metazoa; Chordata; Mammalia; Primates; Hominidae. The record is from Ensembl.